UACGUAGGUGGCAAGCGUUGUCCGGAUUUAUUGGGUUUAAAGGGUGCGUAGGCGGCUUUGUAAGUCAGUGGUGAAAUACGGUAGCUCAACUAUCGAGGUGCCAUUGAUACUGCGGAGCUUGAGUACAGAUGAGGUAGGCGGAAUUGACGGUGUAGCGGUGAAAUGCGUAGAUAUCGAGAGGAACACCUGCGGCGAAGGCGGGUAGCUGGGCCGACACUGACGCUGAGGCGCGAAAGCCAGGGGAGCGAACGGG
This 253-nucleotide ribosomal RNA is filed under the name uncultured bacterium. Its description in RNAcentral is "partial 16S ribosomal RNA". It matches the Rfam family "Bacterial small subunit ribosomal RNA", at positions 524 to 776 of the family's 1533-position model. The record is from RNAcentral.